Molecule: ribosomal RNA, 465 nt
Filed under: Vreelandella stevensii
Lineage: Bacteria; Pseudomonadati; Pseudomonadota; Gammaproteobacteria; Oceanospirillales; Halomonadaceae
Description: partial 16S ribosomal RNA
Rfam family: Bacterial small subunit ribosomal RNA
Source: RNAcentral
CCUACGGGCGGCAGCAGUGGGGAAUAUUGGACAAUGGGGGGAACCCUGAUCCAGCCAUGCCGCGUGUGUGAAGAAGGCCCUCGGGUUGUAAAGCACUUUCAGUGAGGAAGAACGCCUGGUGGUUAAUACCCAUCAGGAAAGACAUCACUCACAGAAGAAGCACCGGCUAACUCCGUGCCAGCAGCCGCGGUAAUACGGAGGGUGCGAGCGUUAAUCGGAAUUACUGGGCGUAAAGCGCGCGUAGGUGGCUUGAUAAGCCGGUUGUGAAAGCCCCGGGCUCAACCUGGGAACGGCAUCCGGAACUGUCAAGCUAGAGUGCAGGAGAGGAAGGUAGAAUUCCCGGUGUAGCGGUGAAAUGCGUAGAGCUCGGGAGGAAUACCAGUGGCGAAGGCGGCCUUCUGGACUGACACUGACACUGAGGUGAGAAAGCGUGGGUAGCAAACAGGAUUAGAUACCCUUGUAGUC